UGGGGAAUAUUGCACAAUGGGCGCAAGCCUGAUGCAGCCAUGCCGCGUGUAUGAAGAAGGCCUUCGGGUUGUAAAGUACUUUCAGUCGGGAGGAAGGUGGUAAGGUUAAUAACCUUGGCAAUUGACGUUACCGACAGAAGAAGCACCGGCUAACUCCGUGCCAGCAGCCGCGGUAAUACGAAGGGUGCAAGCGUUAAUCGGAAUUACUGGGCGUAAAGCGCACGCAGGCGGUUGAUUGAGUCAGAUGUGAAAUCCCCGGGCUUAACCCGGGAAUUGCAUCUGAUACUGGUCAGCUAGAGUCUUGUAGAGGGGGGUAGAAUUCCAUGUGUAGCGGUGAAAUGCGUAGAGAUGUGGAGGAAUACCGGUGGCGAAGGCGGCCCCCUGGACAAAGACUGACGCUCAGGUGCGAAAGCGUGGGGAGCAAACAGG
This 429-nucleotide ribosomal RNA is filed under the name Chloroflexota bacterium. RNAcentral describes it as "Chloroflexi bacterium partial 16S ribosomal RNA". It matches the Rfam family "Bacterial small subunit ribosomal RNA", at positions 355 to 776 of the family's 1533-position model. Lineage: Bacteria; Bacillati; Chloroflexota. The record is from RNAcentral.